This 306-nucleotide unclassified non-coding RNA is filed under the name Hevea brasiliensis (rubber tree). Lineage: Eukaryota; Viridiplantae; Streptophyta; Magnoliopsida; Malpighiales; Euphorbiaceae. The record is from RNAcentral.
AGAGAAUUCGCAAAGCACUAAAAGAUUGUGAAGACAACAUAUUGAAUUAACAUAAUAUAGUCUUGUUAGUGUCAAUCAGUAGACUCAGUAGUCAGUACCAGAUGCUAUUAGAUUGCUUCAGAACAUCUCAUCUCUAUCUAUGCUUAGAAAACAUCUCUUUUGGUUCACAAACCAGAGGAACGUUAAAACCUUUAAUUUGAAAAAAAUUAAUAAUCUGUAGUUUGAAUGAAAUAUCAUUAAUUAUAGCUCUUCUUGACCCUUUUUGGUAAUCAAAUGUGUUUUUCAAUGAAUACUACAUGUGAGUUU